RNAcentral lists this transfer RNA (65 nucleotides) under Onthophagus ochreatus. RNAcentral describes it as "tRNA-Glu". The record is from RNAcentral. Lineage: Eukaryota; Metazoa; Arthropoda; Insecta; Coleoptera; Scarabaeidae.
AAUUUAUUAGUUUAAGAUAAAAACCUUACAUUUUCAAUGUAAAAAUAAAUUUUAUUUAUAAAUUA